AGAGUUUGAUCCUGGCUCAGGAUGAACGCUGACAGAAUGCUUAACACAUGCAAGUCGAUUCAAGUUACCUUCGGGUAAUGAGGAUGGCGGACGGGUGAGUAACGCGUAAGGAACUUGCCUCUUGGUCUGGGACAACUGUUGGAAACGACAGCUAAUACCGGAUAUUAUGAGAUUCUCGCAUGAGAAACUUAUGAAAGCUAUAUGCGCCAAGAGAGAGCCUUGCGUUCCAUUAGCUAGUUGGUGGGGUAAUGGCCCACCAAGGCGACGAUGGAUAGCCGGCCUGAGAGGGUGAACGGCCACAAGGGGACUGAGACACGGCCCUUACUCCUACGGGAGGCAGCAGUGGGGAAUAUUGGACAAUGGGCCACAAGCCUGAUCCAGCAAUUCUGUGUGCACGAUGAAGGUCUUCGGAUUGUAAAGUGCUUUCAGUUGGGAAGAAGAAAGUGACGGUACCAACAGAAGAAGCGACGGCUAAAUACGUGCCAGCAGCCGCGGUAAUACGUAUGUCGCAAGCGUUAUCCGGAUUUAUUGGGCGUAAAGCGCGUCUAGGCGGAAAGAUAAGUCUGAUGUGAAAAUGCGGGGCUCAACUCCGUAUUGCGUUGGAAACUGUCUUUCUAGAGUACUGGAGAGGUGGGCGGAACUACAAGUGUAGAGGUGAAAUUCGUAGAUAUUUGUAGGAAUGCCGAUGGAGAAGUCAGCUCACUGGACAGAUACUGACGCUGAAGCGCGAAAGCGUGGGGAGCAAACAGGAUUAGAUACCCUGGUAGUCCACGCCGUAAACGAUGAUCACUAGGUGUUGGGGGUCGAACCUCAGCGCCCAAG
Molecule: ribosomal RNA, 822 nt
Filed under: uncultured bacterium
Lineage: Bacteria
Description: bacterial SSU rRNA
Rfam family: Bacterial small subunit ribosomal RNA
Source: RNAcentral